Molecule: non-coding RNA, 122 nt
Organism: Caenorhabditis elegans
Lineage: Eukaryota; Metazoa; Nematoda; Chromadorea; Rhabditida; Rhabditidae
Source: Ensembl
ACCGUAGUCCAAGAGCAAUUGCAUCUUCGGUGGCUUGCCGCCUUUUCAAAGCCACCUGAGCUGCCAUCACACGUUGUCGUUCCGCGAUGAGGUUGCAUUUUUCGCAUGCACAUUCCCUGGAA